UUCAGAGUAGGAUGUCUAAAUUAGUAUACCUGUACAUUUUCCAGUACUACAAUAAAAAGUCUGUGUGGAUAUAUCUCUUCCAUGUAGGCUGGUAAAUGUUUAUGUCAAUCUUGUUUCUGAUGUUUAAGCCUAUAAGGCUGUCAGGCAUUCCUGCUUCUGUUGAGCGUUCCUGUAACUGCUUCUCAUAACUGAAAGGUUUGGUGCCUGCAUAGCUGGACCAGUCACUGAUCCUUGUUAUUUUUUCUGAAGUGGUUCAGUGCCACAGUGCCCAACAAAACAGAGCUUGACUUACACAAUGAGCUCAACACAAAUCACAACUGUGGAACACUUGCACCUUUUGCCUCUUUGGAGGAAAUGCAUACGUUUGGGAAUCAUGGAAAAUAAUGAACAAUCAACUCAUUUCAAACACCAUGUCUGCAGAGUUUGGAAAAUAUAGUGUGGAAAUGGACGUCAGCAUAGAUAAACUCCAUGGCUGCUGAUUUUCCUUCUCUUCCAUAUAUUUGAAGACUGAGUGUCUGAGUGUGAAAAAGCUAGUACAACAGUUUUCACUUCU
Cygnus olor (mute swan) is the source of this 553-nucleotide long non-coding RNA. RefSeq lists it as uncharacterized. The record is from RefSeq and is a predicted model, not a curated record. NCBI's taxonomy places the organism in Eukaryota, Metazoa, Chordata, Aves, Anseriformes, Anatidae. The transcript is spliced from 3 exons.